CUUCUUGAACUUCAACAAUACUGC
This 24-nucleotide non-coding RNA is filed under the name Arabidopsis thaliana (thale cress). Lineage: Eukaryota; Viridiplantae; Streptophyta; Magnoliopsida; Brassicales; Brassicaceae. The record is from RNAcentral.